GUCUGGAUAGUUGGAUAGGUCUGGAUAGGUGGAUAGGUCUGGAUAGUUGGAUAGGUCUGGAUAGUUGGAUAGGUCUGGAUAGUUGGAUAGGUCUGGAUAGUUGUAUAGGGCUGGAUAGUUGGACAGGGCUGGAUAGUUGGACAGGGCUGGAUAGUUGGACAGGGCUGGAUAGUUGGACAGGGCUGAAUAGUUGGAUAGGUCUGGAUAGUUGGAUAGGUCUGGAUAGGGCUGGAUAGGGCUGGAUAGUUGGAUAGGUCUGGAUAGUUGGAUAGGUCUGGAUAGUUGGAUAGGUCUGGAUAGUUGGAUAGGUCUGGAUAGUUGGAUAGGGCUGGAUAGUUGGAUAGGGCUGGAUAGUUGGACAGGGCUGGAUAGGGCUGGAUAGUUGGACAAGGCUGGAUAGUUGGACAUGGCUGGAUAGUUGGACAGGGCUGAAUAGUUGGAUAGGUCUGGAUAGUUGGAUAGGUCUGGAUAGGGCUGGAUAGUUGGAUAGGGCUGGAUAGUUGGAUAGGGCUGGAUAGUUGGAUAGGUCUGGAUAGGUGGAUAGGGCUGGAUAGUUGGAUAGUUC
Molecule: long non-coding RNA, 565 nt
Organism: Oncorhynchus tshawytscha (Chinook salmon)
Lineage: Eukaryota; Metazoa; Chordata; Actinopteri; Salmoniformes; Salmonidae
Source: Ensembl